GUCCCUGUGGCCCAACGGAUAAGGCGUGAGACUACGAAUCUCAAGAUUGCGGGUUCGAAUCCCGUCAGGGAUA
RNAcentral lists this transfer RNA (73 nucleotides) under Ceratocystis platani. It matches the Rfam family "tRNA". Rfam says of the family: Transfer RNA (tRNA) molecules are approximately 80 nucleotides in length. Their secondary structure includes four short double-helical elements and three loops (D, anti-codon, and T loops). Lineage: Eukaryota; Fungi; Ascomycota; Sordariomycetes; Microascales; Ceratocystidaceae. The record is from Rfam by way of RNAcentral.